GAUGAACGCUGGCGGCGUGCUUAACACAUGCAAGUCGAACGGGAAACUUUUCAUUGAAGCUUCGGCAGAUUUGGUCUGUUUCUAGUGGCGGACGGGUGAGUAACGCGUGGGUAACCUGCCUUAUACAGGGGGAUAACAACCAGAAAUGGUUGCUAAUACCGCAUAAGCGCACAGGACCGCAUGGUCCGGUGUGAAAAACUCCGGUGGUAUAAGAUGGACCCGCGUUGGAUUAGCUAGUUGGCAGGGCAACGGCCUACCAAGGCGACGAUCCAUAGCCGGCCUGAGAGGGUGAACGGCCACAUUGGGACUGAGACACGGCCCAGACUCCUACGGGAGGCAGCAGUGGGGAAUAUUGCACAAUGGGGGAAACCCUGAUGCAGCGACGCCGCGUGAAGGAAGAAGUAUCUCGGUAUGUAAACUUCUAUCAGCAGGGAAGAUAGUGACGGUACCUGACUAAGAAGC
This 462-nucleotide ribosomal RNA is filed under the name uncultured bacterium. Its description in RNAcentral is "bacterial SSU rRNA". It matches the Rfam family "Bacterial small subunit ribosomal RNA", at positions 28 to 491 of the family's 1533-position model. The record is from RNAcentral.